CUACGGUGUUACAGAGAGCCAUGACUACAAAAGCUCAGGGCUUAGAGAGAACCUGAGAGAUUCUGCCAACUUCAGAUACUUUUGCCUGGGUUGAAUGUGGAUGUGAAGGAGAGAAAAUUGGUGAGGAACACCUCAGGGAACACAUCAUGUACCAUAUUAAAGAGAUUGGAUUUAUCCUAAAAGCUACAGGGAGCUAACAAAGAAAGGCUGUAAUGGAGGACACUGAUGUGUUCUGAUUUGUGGCUCGCGCUGGUAACAAUAUCAAGAGUGGAUGCAGGGCAUGGGGAUGUGACAGUUGUUGUAUCAAUUAUUGCAGUAAAUGACAAGGGCCAGAAUUUAAACAAAUAUGAAAUGUCAGUAGGGAUAGAAUUUUUCUAUCAAAAAUAAUUAGGCUUUCCAACUAUGCUUAAUAAAUUUAAUAUGUUGAAUAGCUUGCAG
Molecule: long non-coding RNA, 438 nt
Filed under: Homo sapiens (human)
Lineage: Eukaryota; Metazoa; Chordata; Mammalia; Primates; Hominidae
Description: HSALNT0213935
Source: RNAcentral